RNAcentral lists this ribosomal RNA (452 nucleotides) under uncultured bacterium. RNAcentral describes it as "bacterial SSU rRNA". It matches the Rfam family "Bacterial small subunit ribosomal RNA", at positions 917 to 1382 of the family's 1533-position model. The record is from RNAcentral.
GGGCCCGCACAAGCAGCGGAGCGUGUGGUUUAAUUCGAUGUUACACGAAGAACCUUACCAGGGUUUGACAUGCAAGUGGUAGCGAAGAGAAAUUGGAGCGACCCUUCGGGGAGCUUGCACAGGUGCUGCAUGGCUGUCGUCAGCUCGUGUCGUGAGAUGUUCGGUUAAGUCCGCUAACGAGCGCAACCCUCGCCGUGUGUUACAAGUGUCACACGGGACAGCCGGUCUUAAGCCGGAGGAAGGUGGGGAUGACGUCAAGUCAGCAUGGCCUUUAUGUCCUGGGCUACACACACGCUACAAUGGCCGGUACAACAGGUAGCGAAGCCGCGAGGUGGAGCCAAUCCAGAAAGCCGGUCUCAGUUCAGAUUGCAGGCUGCAACCCGCCUGCAUGAAGCUGGAGUUGCUAGUAACUGCAGGUCAGCUAUACUGCAGUGAAUACGUUCCCGGGCCUU